GACGGAGGGAGCAAGUGUUAUUCUACUGGAAUCGGUGUAUGGGGUACGUAGACGGUUUUUUAAGUCAAGUACAUAAAAAAUAUCGUAAGAUUUGAAGAAUGUACUUGAGACUGUAAAACUUGAAUCAACUAUGGUGAGAAUAGUACAACAGGAGGAUAGGUAAAAUUAUAAGAUACUUGUGGGACUACCAUUCAGCGCAAGCAUUUCUCAAGAUUAUGAUUGACGUUAAGGUACAAAAGCGUGGGGAGCGAAUCGG
RNAcentral lists this ribosomal RNA (256 nucleotides) under uncultured bacterium. RNAcentral's name for it is "partial 16S ribosomal RNA". It matches the Rfam family "Bacterial small subunit ribosomal RNA", at positions 524 to 776 of the family's 1533-position model. The record is from RNAcentral.